CUGGUGGCGUGCUUAACACAUGCAAGUCGAACGGUGAAGCCCAGCUUGCUGGGUGGAUCAGUGGCGAACGGGUGAGUAACACGUGAGCAACCUGCCCCCUACUUCGGGAUAAGCCUUGGAAACGAGGUCUAAUACCGGAUAUGAACACUGACCGCAUGGUGGGUGUUGGAAAGUUUUUCGGUGGGGGAUGGGCUCGCGGCCUAUCAGCUUGUUGGUGGGGUAAUGGCCUACCAAGGCGUCGACGGGUAGCCGGCCUGAGAGGGCGACCGGCCACACUGGGACUGAGACACGGCCCAGACUCCUACGGGAGGCAGCAGUGGGGAAUAUUGCACAAUGGGCGAAAGCCUGAUGCAGCGACGCCACGUGAGGGACGACGGCCUUCGGGUUGUAAACCUCUUUCAGCAGGGAAGAAGCGAAAGUGACGGUACCUGCAGAAGAAGCGCCGGCUAACUACGUGCCAGCAGCCGCGGUAAUACGUAGGGCGCAAGCGUUGUCCGGAAUUAUUGGGCGUAAAGAGCUCGUAGGCGGUCUGUCGCGUCUGGUGUGAAAUCCCAUGGCUCAACCAUGGGCUUGCAUCGGGUACGGGCAGACUAGAGUGCUGUAGGGGAGACUGGAAUUCCUGGUGUAGCGGUGGAAUGCGCAGAUAUCAGGAGGAACACCGAUGGCGAAGGCAGGUCUCUGGGCAGUUACUGACGCUGAGGAGCGAAAGCAUGGGGAGCGAACAGGAUUAGAUACCCUGGUAGUCCAUGCCGUAAACGUUGGGCACUAGGUGUGGGGCGGGUUCCACUCGUUCUGUGCCGCAGCUAACGCAUUAAGUGCCCCGCCUGGGGAGUACGGCCGCAAGGCUAAAACUCAAAGGAAUUGACGGGGGCCCGCACAAGCGGCGGAGCAUGCGGAUUAAUUCGAUGCAACGCGAAGAACCUUACCAAGG
RNAcentral lists this ribosomal RNA (931 nucleotides) under Promicromonospora sp. Its description in RNAcentral is "bacterial SSU rRNA". It matches the Rfam family "Bacterial small subunit ribosomal RNA", at positions 36 to 979 of the family's 1533-position model. The record is from RNAcentral. Lineage: Bacteria; Bacillati; Actinomycetota; Actinomycetes; Micrococcales; Promicromonosporaceae.